RNAcentral lists this ribosomal RNA (396 nucleotides) under uncultured bacterium. RNAcentral describes it as "partial 16S ribosomal RNA". It matches the Rfam family "Bacterial small subunit ribosomal RNA", at positions 523 to 918 of the family's 1533-position model. The record is from RNAcentral.
AUACGUAGGGGGCGAGCGUUGUCCGGAAUGAUUGGGCGUAAAGGGCGCGUAGGCGGCUUUGCAAGUCAGUAGUGGAAGUCCAUUUUUCAAGGAUGGAAGUGCUACAGAAACUGCGGAGCUUGAGUGCAGGAGAGGUUAUCGGAAUUCCCGGUGUAGCGGUGAAAUGCGUAGAGAUCGGGAGGAACACCAGUGGCGAAGGCGGGUAACUGGACUGCAACUGACGCUGAGGCGCGAAAGUGUGGGGAGCAAACAGGAUUAGAUACCCUGGUAGUCCACACCGUAAACGAUGAUUACUAGGUGUAGGGGGAUAGACCCCCUCUGUGCCGCAGCUAACGCAAUAAGUAAUCCACCUGGGGAGUACGGUCGCAAGACUGAAACUCAAAUGAAUUGACGGGG